Molecule: transfer RNA, 85 nt
Filed under: Thermoplasmata archaeon
Lineage: Archaea; Methanobacteriati; Thermoplasmatota; Thermoplasmata
Description: tRNA-Leu
Rfam family: tRNA
About the family: Transfer RNA (tRNA) molecules are approximately 80 nucleotides in length. Their secondary structure includes four short double-helical elements and three loops (D, anti-codon, and T loops).
Source: RNAcentral
GCAGGGGUACCCGAGUGGUCAAAGGGGGUGGGCUCAAGAUCCACUGCUUAGUGCUUCGCAGGUUCGAAUCCUGUUCCCUGCACCA